RNAcentral lists this long non-coding RNA (313 nucleotides) under Brassica napus (rape). RNAcentral describes it as "long non-coding RNA (BNAP_LNC006644)". The record is from RNAcentral. Lineage: Eukaryota; Viridiplantae; Streptophyta; Magnoliopsida; Brassicales; Brassicaceae.
ACUUGGUUCAUUUAAUUUGGAUGCAUAAACUUUUAAAAAUUAAAUAUUAGAUGAUUAUGUGAAAAAGGAAAUGUAAUGUGGAUUUUAAGAAGGUAUAACUAUAUGUUCCAUUGACAAACAAAAAUCUCAAUGAAACAUAAUACAAAAAUGUCAAAAACAAUUCGUCGAAAUUUCUUCGGGCUGUUUGAUGAAUUUUCAACAGAAAUUAUUUUGACGAAGUUCUGAUGUAUAUUUUUGUCGGAAAUUGUGUAUUUAAAAUAUAAUAUUUAGAUUAAUUUAUUUCUCAAAAAAACUAAUUUACAAUUGUCUAUGA